CCUACGGGCGGCUGCAGUGGGGAAUAUUGCUCAAUGGGGGAAACCCUGAAGCAGCAACGCCGCGUGGGGGAUGAAGGUUUUCGGAUUGUAAACUCCUUUUGUUAGAGAAGAUAAUGACGGUAUCUAACGAAUAAGCACCGGCUAACUCCGUGCCAGCAGCCGCGGUAAUACGGAGGGUGCAAGCGUUACGCGGAAUCACUGGGCGUAAAGGGCGCGUAGGCGGGAUAGCAAGUCAGAUGUGAAAUCCUAGGGCUUAACCAUAGAACUGCAUUUGAAACUGUUAUUCUAGAGUGUGGGAGAGGUAGGCGGAAUUCUCGGUGUAGGGGUAAAAUCCGUAGAGAUCAAGAGGAACA
Molecule: ribosomal RNA, 353 nt
Filed under: uncultured bacterium
Lineage: Bacteria
Description: partial 16S ribosomal RNA
Rfam family: Bacterial small subunit ribosomal RNA
Source: RNAcentral